RNAcentral lists this ribosomal RNA (590 nucleotides) under uncultured bacterium. RNAcentral's name for it is "bacterial SSU rRNA". It matches the Rfam family "Bacterial small subunit ribosomal RNA", at positions 337 to 916 of the family's 1533-position model. The record is from RNAcentral.
UCCUACGGGAGGCAGCAGUCGAGAGGCAUCCGCAAUGGGCGAAAGCCCGACGGUGCGACGCCGCGUGGACGAUGAAGGCCUUCGGGUUGUAAAGUCCUGUCACAGGGGGGAGAACAAGCCCCAUCUCAAUAGGAUGGGGCUCUGACGUUGCCCCUGGAGAAAGACCCGGCUAACUCCGUGCCAGCAGCCGCGGUAAUACGGAGGGGUCGAGCGUUAUUCGGAUUCACUGGGCGUAAAGGGCGCGUAGGCGGGGUCGUGGGUCGGCCGUGAAAUCCACCGGCUCAACCGGUGAACUGCGGUCGAAACUACGACUCUUGAGCUCGGUAGAGGAAGGCGGAAUUCCUGGUGUAGCGGUGGAAUGCGUAGAUAUCAGGAAGAACACCGGUAGCGAAGGCGGCCUUCUGGGCCGUAGCUGACGCUGAGGCGCGAAAGCCGGGGGAGCGAACAGGAUUAGAUACCCUGGUAGUCCCGGCCGUAAACGAUGGGUACUAGGUGUAGGGGGUACUGACCCCCUCUGUGCCGCAGUUAACGCAUUAAGUACCCCGCCUGGGGAGUACGCGCGCAAGCGUGAAACUCAAAUGAAUUGACGG